AGAAAACAGCUGUCUCUUUNNAAUUUUUAUUUAAUUUAACUUUUAAGUAAAAAGGCUUAAAUUUUUAUUAAAGACGAGAAGACCCUAUAGAGUUUUAUAUUUAACUUAUAAUAAUUUAUUUAGAAUUGUUUAAUUUUUUAUUUAGUUAAUUAUUUGGUUGGGGUGACUAAAAGAUUUGUUAAACUCUUUUAAUUUUAUAUCAUUGAUUUAUGAAUAGAUUAUCUAGAUUUAUUAAAUUUAAGAUUAAUUACCUUAGGGAUAACAGCGUAAUUUCUUUUUAGAGUUCUUAUUGAUAAGGAAGUUUGCGACCUCGAUGUUGAUUUAAAUUGCCGNNNNAUGNNUG
RNAcentral lists this ribosomal RNA (343 nucleotides) under Agriotes pallidulus. RNAcentral's name for it is "partial 16S ribosomal RNA". Lineage: Eukaryota; Metazoa; Arthropoda; Insecta; Coleoptera; Elateridae. The record is from RNAcentral.